ACUGUUUGCUGGUCUCAGGCGAAUGGCUGGGAACAAAGUAUAUAAUCUCGUUGGUUAUUUAAUAAUGUUUGCACUUUGAAUCUGUGUACAUAGUUGCUAAAUCCAUUAUAUCUUCUUCCUGCCAGGAGAAUAUUUAUUUUUCCAAAGAUUUGUGUUGCUUUUUUUUUUAAUAAAAUAGAUUUUACUCUAUUGAGCCAUUAUGAGUAUAUAGACUUUUUUAUGU
Molecule: long non-coding RNA, 223 nt
Filed under: Brassica napus (rape)
Lineage: Eukaryota; Viridiplantae; Streptophyta; Magnoliopsida; Brassicales; Brassicaceae
Description: long non-coding RNA (BNAP_LNC014060)
Source: RNAcentral